CGAAUUUCUCUGAGAUCAGCCACUAGGCAUUACAGUUCUGGUGGGGCAGGGGAACGCAGAGGUUCAGAUGGGGAGAAGGACAUACCCACGGGUGAAGCGCAAAGCGUUGCUGUCUCUGAAAAACUUUUUUUUUUUUCCAGAAGGUAUUUUCAUCUUUCCUGUAAUCUCAUUUUAGAGGCAACUCCUGGUGGGUCUAGCCUUCAUUUUAAACUUGAAAGAUGCUGCGUUGAUCAGUGGUUCCUGACUGAAUCUGAAAGUCAGCUCUCUCACGAGCUGCUUUGUCUCACUUUUUUAACUUUGAUCUUCAAACAUCAAAAAGUUAAUAUCGUUAAUUCAAAGGAGGUGUUCAAGCACCCUCGGCCAGAACACCUUCCUGGGGAUGGGAAAUCUCCAUCCUCAGGGCAGUUUCCACGCAGGGUGGUGUAUCCCUGGAGUGACAGGGAGCGGGUGAAGGAGGGAAGUUUCAGCGAGGGCUCCCCUCACGCUCCAGCCGCCGGGUCAGGCUGCGGAGCCCCGCGGUCGGGUGGAGCCUGGGGCGGCCCCGCGCUUCCGGGCCGCCGCCGGCGACCUCGGCGGUCGGGCAGCGCCUUGCGCCCCGAGGGAAAGCGACGGAGCCAGCCAGCUAGCCAGCCAGCCAGCCAGGGAGGGAGCGGAGGCGGCCACGGCGCCAUGCGGCCCGCAGAACAUAUGAAGGAUAUUCUUGUGAUAUACGAACAAGAAGCAGAAGAGUGGGCUGUGUAUUUAAAAUCUCUGUUUGGACACAUACUGAAUGAAGAAGGAGUCUUACUCUACAAUCUGGAGACUUUGUCUUUCAAGCACCUGGAGUCAUUCUCUUUACCCUGCUAUAAAUGUAAACUGCUGAUACUCUCGUGUGGACUUCUUAAAUGCCUAAAUCAAGAGAGAUGCUGCUUUCUGGAGUAUGUUCUUCAGCCUCCAGAUAAUGUGGUGAUUCUCCUUUGUGGGGUGGAGAAUUCAGAGAUUCUUUAUGAGGUACUGACCUUAGGUGGAAGGAGCAGAGAGAUCUCCGCUGAUCAGGAACCUGAAGAAUAUCUCUCAAUUGUUACUGGAAUUAUUCAACCAGGUAAGCCACAGAAUGAAACUCCUGGAGCCUCUUUUUCUUACAUAUAUGAAGCCGUUCUUGCAGAUGAUGACCAGACCAACUAUGAUUUUAACUUACCAGAUACCAGGGGAGCUCCAGAAAAAACAGAUCUCAGUUUUGAACCAGAAGUACUGUCUGAAACAUUAGAAGCUAAUGAGCAGUCGGUAUUGGUGCUUCCAGAAAGAAUAUCAUGUGAGAACCCUGGUGAAAUAUUCAUUUUGUUGAAAGAUGAAAUAGAUGAUGAAACUUUUGAAAUUGAAUUCAUAGCAGAUAAUCAACGAAUUAGGACACAGCCAGCCUCUUGGAAUAAGAAGGUCAAGUAUAUGAAAGCCUUAGAUUUUCCUGCUGGCCCUGUAUAUAUAAAUGUCUACUGUGGGGGAGUCAUUAAGACCACAGCACAGAUCGAGUAUUAUACUGCACUAGAAGAGAUUGAGCGCGUGUUUCAGAAAGUGGCUGACCCAAUAGCUUUUGCUUGUCAGGCUUUUAGAUUUUCUUCUGUGGAGAAGCUGGACAGUGUUCUGACUCUGUUAUUGGAAAGCAAAAUAAUUACGUCUGAAUUCAACAUAUCCCAGAGCGAAGAGCAGCACCAUCAACAAGCUAAUAGCCAUUUGGAAGAAUUUCCCACUCUCCUUCACUGUGCAGCCAGAUUUGGAUUAAAGAACCUUGCAGCUCUUCUACUCAAGUGUCCAGAGGCCACAUGGGCUUGUAGGAUAGCCAACACACACGGAGAUGAUCCAGCAAGUCUUGCUGAGAAGCAUGGACACAAGGAACUAAGAAAAUUAAUCAAAGAAUUGUCAAAUGAAAUGACAUAUAAUUUCACCGAUCAUGAGGAGGAAGCAGAAGAUGAUGACACUUACGUGGUUAUGGUAGGCUUGGAAACUCAACCAGCCAUGACAUUAAAAGCCAAGCUGAACCUGGGAGAUCAAUAUGGAAUUGGAUCAAAAUGCCAACAAAUAGCUGAGGUGGAUGAGGAAGAGGAAGAUGAUGUAGAAGACAUCAGAGAGGAAACCAAAGAUGAAGAUCAAGAAGGGGAAGAUACCUACACCCUUGUCAACAAUCCUAACAAUUUAUAUGCCAGCAUACCUGAUGAUUCAGAAAAGACCAGAAGAGACUUAUUUUUCUACAAGAGGCCACCUGCUCCUCCCCCUCGAAAUCUGCCUGGCACCGUAAGGCAGGAUGAGCUGCACAAUUUAUCACAAGAAAGGAAUUUUGUGGAGGACAGAAGUGACAGAGAAUAUGGUGAUGGACUCCUAACAGCAUGCUACAGAGAAGACCAAGAUACAUAUGAGGAAGAUGACAAGGAGGAGCACCCAUACACUUUUGCGAAAUUGGAUGAAUCUCUGUACGAUUUGAUACUGGCUGAGAAGGAGGAGGAGAAGAGGAAAGAACGCAGGUCGUUUAUCAUGAACAGGCCUCCAGCCCCUGCCCCUCGUCCUGUAUGUUCGCCCGUCAGAAAUGAGAACACUCCCUACAUAGUACAAGUGUUUCAGCAAAAGGCCACUCAGAUGCCCAGUGACUACAACAAGAUGUACUGCAAUGUCAGGAGGCACGCAGCACACAGACGCCCCAGCGAGACAGUAGCUUAUAGCACUGUGAAACACAACAUCCCUGCUGAACAGGAAGAACUUAUCCAUUUGCAGAAACAAGUGAAAAAGGGGGCAAUUUCUGUGGAUGAAGCCCUUGACAAAUUUAAACGGUGGCAGAAUGAAAACCAGAGACUACAGUCUACUCUACAGGGACGUGUGCUGUAUUCACAUUUGAAGGAAAACACAUAACAGGCGACUCACCCUAGCGUCCGACAAGGACCCCAACAGACAAGGAACAGAUGCCUAAUUAACAGAGUGCAAAUCUCCAGCUUUCCUCUGUUUGACAAUCCCCACGUCUCCAAGUGGUGUGCACCCCAGAGAAACUCAGCCUCCAGCAAGUACCGCUGCGCCCAUCACACCUCCAGUGUCUUGGAAUCACGCACCUGGGCCAACUCUGGAAGAAAUCCAGUAUCACAAGAGCAAAUUAGUAAGACUCCUUGUAAAGUCACCCCUAAUUCAACACCCUUUCUUUGCUGAUUUUUCUCUCCAGAUUGACAGCUGAAGAUAUAUAUGAAGAUAUAUUGUGUGCUUUGGUUAAUUGUUUAUAAACUCAUUUCAGUUUUUCAAUAAUGUUCAAGAGUUGUUUAAAAGGAGAUUUUUAUGCACAAAAGAGAAAGAAUAUGAAAAGUUACAAAGAUUAUGAAGUUAUAAUACACAAAAUUUAGUUUUUGCUUUUCAUUAAUACAUUUCUGUAUAAACUUUGUAUAUAAAUUUGUCUUUCAUAAUACUAAUAAUUGUACUCCAUCGUAAGCUUAAAGAAUUAUGUUCAAAGUGAAGCUAAUUUCUAAAGUCAAACUGUAUAAAUUAAAAAUGUAAAUCAGUACUAAUUAUAUACUACCGCAUUAAAGUGAUUACAAAAAGUGUGUUUAAAGGAAACUGUGCUUUGUUUAAUAAGUUGCCUAAGAUAAAUGAUACCCAGAACAGAAAAAAAAAAACUCUCUAUUGCAUUUACACAUUAUAAAUAAAGGAAUAAACUACAAUUAAUGGGUAUAAUAGCCUGCGUUCACACAGUGCGAUAUUCCAACAUUUAAGUGAACAUGUGAUGAUACAAGGAGGAUGCAAGAAGGCUUGCUUAUACACAAAAAAGGAGAAAAAGAUCACAUAUGCAACUUGCAGAAGGUAAAAGAAUACUUUAAAUUUCAGAUAAGCAGUAGCUUAAAGAGACAUCUCCCCCCCUUCGUUAUCUGCGCUUUGUGAAAACAGUCUUAAAAUACAGGUAAGCAUAGUGUUGUCCAAAGAAGCCCCACAGAGAUCAGUCUUUGCUAGUCCAUUAGUAGUACGUUAUUCACUGACAUCUUUAGGAACCUGAGCUGGUCAUAGCGAGCCUCCCCUCAGGCUCUCAGUACUCUGAAUCUCUGCUUCACAUGUACUAAGAGAUGCUUGCACUUACAUUUCAGUUAGGAAAAACUGAAAACUCCUUUAUAAUCAGAAACCUUGAAAAUAUGCACAAAUCUUGCUCCUGAACUACAUGUUAAUU
Molecule: RNA transcript, 4162 nt
Organism: Cygnus olor (mute swan)
Lineage: Eukaryota; Metazoa; Chordata; Aves; Anseriformes; Anatidae
Gene: BANK1
Gene name: B cell scaffold protein with ankyrin repeats 1
Exons: 16
Source: RefSeq, a predicted model, not a curated record